AUACGUAGGGAGCGAGCGUUGUCCGGAAUUACUGGGCGUAAAGAGCUCGUAGGUGGUUUGUCGCGUCGUCUGUGAAAUUCCGGGGCUUAACUCCGGGCGUGCAGGCGAUACGGGCAUAACUUGAGUACUGUAGGGGAGACUGGAAUUCCUGGUGUAGCGGUGAAAUGCGCAGAUAUCAGGAGGACCACCGGGGGCGAAGGCGGGUCUCUGGGCAGUAACUGACGCUGAGGAGCGAAAGCAUGGGUAGCGAACAGGAUUAGAUACCCUGGUAGUCCAUGCCGUAAACGGUGGGCGCUAGGUGUAGGGGUCUUCCACGACUUCUGUGCCGUAGCUAACGCAUUAAGCGCCCCGCCUGGGGAGUACGGCCGCAAGGCUAAAACUCAAAUGAAUUGACGGGG
RNAcentral lists this ribosomal RNA (398 nucleotides) under uncultured bacterium. RNAcentral's name for it is "partial 16S ribosomal RNA". It matches the Rfam family "Bacterial small subunit ribosomal RNA", at positions 523 to 918 of the family's 1533-position model. The record is from RNAcentral.